RNAcentral lists this ribosomal RNA (272 nucleotides) under uncultured bacterium. RNAcentral describes it as "partial 16S ribosomal RNA". It matches the Rfam family "Bacterial small subunit ribosomal RNA", at positions 524 to 796 of the family's 1533-position model. The record is from RNAcentral.
UACGGAGGGUGCAAGCGUUAUCCGGAAUCACUGGGUUUAAAGGGUGCGUAGGCGGCGCUAUAAGUCAGAGGUGAAAGGCCACCGCUUAACGGUGGGACUGCCUUUGAUACUGUAGUGCUUGAAUCAGGCUGAGGUCGGCGGAAUGAGUCAUGUAGCGGUGAAAUGCAUAGAUAUGACUAGAACACCAAUUGCGAAGGCAGCUAACUGGGCCUUGAUUGACGCUGAGGCACGAAAGCGUGGGGAGCGAACAGGAUUAGAUACCCCCGUAGUCC